Molecule: long non-coding RNA, 2703 nt
Filed under: Vombatus ursinus (common wombat)
Lineage: Eukaryota; Metazoa; Chordata; Mammalia; Diprotodontia; Vombatidae
Description: lncRNA (ENSVURG00010019430.1)
Source: RNAcentral
AAAAGAUUAAAGGUUUAGUAGCUCCUUGUGUCCCAAAAAUCUUAGUGCAUGCAGUUUUGAGCUAUUCAAGUUUUAAGCUUUAGUAGCUUAAAAUUUCAAUAAGACUUUUGGGACAACCUGUGUGGUGUAUAGUGCCACAGCCUGAUGCUAAUCACAUGCCUCGCGAUCCACUCAGUUCCAGAAUUUGGCUUUUGCUCUUUCCAUUAAGCCAAAUCCAAGGACACAGUGCUUUGCACAUAGUAAAGGCUUAAUAAAUCUUCUUGCAUUCAUUCACUCCACAGAGCCAUCCAUUGCAUUCCUAACUUGGGGGCCAAGAGAAAGUAGCCUGAGGGUAAAUAUUUCCUCCCAGUCAGGUCCCUCACCUGCCAGGACAGCUUUCUUUCAUCUGGUGCUAUUUCCUCAUUCACCCAGAAAUCACUGCAACAGAGGCUGGCCUUCAGGACCCACUAAACGUGGAGUUGUGAAAUCUUCAGAGGCUCAGCACCAGUCAGUUGCCCCUCCUCCCAGCAGCUUGCUGCCCCAGACACUUAAAGCAGCUGCCCAAGCAGCCCGAGCAGCAGAAGCAGCCGCCGCCGCUUCGUCGCCAUUGCCAGGGCACAGGCUAGAAGCGUGCCCAGUUUCCGGGGCCCCAGUACCCGUCAAGAUGCGCUGUGUGCUGCUGCUGGUCCUCGCGGCCGGGGCUUUCUUUCUAGCCCCCGGAGUUUCCAGCUUGCCCACUGUUUCUGCGGAAGCACAACAAGAAAUAUGAUAUGUCGGAGUAUCAUCGCAGAUUAUACAAUUUUCUCGAAAAUAAGAGAAUAAUUGAUAAACACAAUGCUGGGAACCACUCAUACAGAAGUACUACAGUAAAAUUAUUCUAAUACUUCUCUGGGAUCUGGGGCUGGUAAAAUGUUCGAAAAUAGCAGUAGAGUAUAAGCCAAAGAAUAUUAAUCAAUUAACCAGGAAAUGUUUUUUUGUGUCUUUAUAUGAAUCAUCAACCAAUCAGUCAACAAGUAUUUUACUAAGUACCUACUAAGUGCCAGACACAGGGGAUAUAAUACAAUGUGGGGAGGGGGGUGUGGAGAGGUGGAUGGGUGUGUGAAAUGAUAAUGUAUUACCAUAAUAUGAAACUGAGAUAUAACUAGGAAUUUUUAUGCAUGAAGCAAAUUCACUUUUCAGAGAUUUGCAUAGUUAGGUGAACCAGGUGAGUGGGUUGAUGCCUCCAAGAUAGGGCCUGGCCUAUCCCAUACAGUGCAUGAAUGGAAGAAAGAUAAGCCCUAAAAGAAGGUAUCACAGUGAGAGGCCCCUUGGAGGCAAGAGGGAUGCUGGCUUGGGGGCACUUGCUGCACAUGGAAGCCCAAUGGGCCACAGGUUAGGAGGUGAGGUAGGGUAGGGGGUCAGCAAACAUAAUAAGUGUAUAUUAUGAAUUGGGUAUUGUACUCAGUGCUAAUGAUACAAAGACAAAUGGAAAAACAGCCCCUGUUUUCAAGCUUACAUUCUAGUGGUGGUAUAUAAUAUAUUUACUAACAACCAAGGGGAACAACAAAGGCUUCUGGAGGAACUAAUUUGAUUUGGGUCUUGGAGCAAGCUAAAGAUUCUAAGAAAGGACUGGGUGCAUUUCAGGUAUGAGUAAUAACCUAUGAAAAGGUAGAGAGGGAAGAGAUGGAAUUCUGAGCUCAGAAAACAGAAUUGGGCCAAUUUGUCUGGUGGUAGGAAUGAAGGGCCUGAGAUGCCAAAGUAAGAAUCUUGUAUUUCAUCCUAGAAAUAAUAGGAUGCCACUGAAAAGUGCUGAGCAAGUGAGUGGCAUGGCCAGACCCGUGCUUUAGGAAGAUUAUUUUGGCAUCUGUGUGGAAGUUGGUCUGGACAGGAAAAAACCAGAAGCCAGAAAUACAAUUAGGAGGCUAUUUGGAAAAACCCAGGAAAGAGGUGAUGAGGACCCUGGAAGCAGAAAGGAGGCAAAUGUGAGAAAUAUUGUAGAGAUAAAAUUGGCAGCUAGUUGGUGCAGUGGAUAGAGCACUGGUCCUGGAAGCAGGAAGAGCUUAGUUCAGAUCUGCCCUCAGAGACUUACUAGCAAUGUGACCCUGAGCAAGUCCCUUAACCUCAGUUUCCUCCUCUUUAAAAUGGGGAUAAGAGUCACACCUACCUCCCAGGGUUGUUGUGAGGAUCAAAAGAGAUAAUAAUAAUUGCUUAAUAAUUUAAAAGCACUCAGGAAAGUGCCCGGCACAUAGUAAGCACUAUAUAAAUGUUAGUUAUUAUUACUGUUUGUGCAAAACUUGAUGACUGGAUAGAAGGGAGAGUAAAGAGUCAAGGGUGAUUCUGAGGAUAGAAAAUUGGUUAUAUAGAGAGAAAUUUGGAGGAAGGUCAUGUUUAGGUGAGGAAGACAAUGAAUUCCAAUUCAGACAUUUUUAGUUAUACAGGGACAAUCAGGUGGAUAAAAAUGUCCAUGAUGGAGUUAAUGAUAAAGAAUUAGAGUUCAAGAGAGACUAGUACUGAACAUAAAGAUAAGGGAAUAGUCUAGAUAGAAAUGAUGACUGAGCUGAGAGAAACUGAUGAGAGGAUUCAUGCAAAGCCUUGUGGAAACCCAGAGUCAAGGAAAUAGGGCAUGGGUGGUGAAUCCAGCAAAGAAGACUGAAAAGGAGAAUCAUGGGAGAGUAAUAUCAGAAAAGCUAAGUGAAGAGAUGAGAAGGGAGUGGUCAACAAAAUAAAAAACUGCCAAGAGAUCCA